UACGUAGGGGGCAAGCGUUAUCCGGGUUUACUGGGUGUAAAGGGAGCGUAGACGGCAGCGCAAGCCUGGAGUGAAAGGAUGGGGCCCAACCCCAUGACUGCUCUGGGAACUGUGCGGCUAGAGUGCCGGAGGGGUAAGCGGAAUUCCUAGUGUAGCGGUGAAAUGCGUAGAUAUUAGGAGGAACACCAGUGGCGAAGGCGAUUCUCUGGACUGUAACUGACGCUGAGGCUCGAAAGCGUGGGGAGCAAACAGG
Molecule: ribosomal RNA, 253 nt
Filed under: uncultured bacterium
Lineage: Bacteria
Description: partial 16S ribosomal RNA
Rfam family: Bacterial small subunit ribosomal RNA
Source: RNAcentral